Molecule: transfer RNA, 80 nt
Filed under: Ackermannviridae sp.
Lineage: Duplodnaviria; Heunggongvirae; Uroviricota; Caudoviricetes; Pantevenvirales; Ackermannviridae
Description: tRNA-Met
Rfam family: tRNA
About the family: Transfer RNA (tRNA) molecules are approximately 80 nucleotides in length.
Source: RNAcentral
CGCAGAGUGGAGAAGUUGGUCAUCUCGCUAGGCUCAUAACCUAGAGAUCGCACAAAGUGGUUCGAAUCCCGCCUCUGCAA